Molecule: long non-coding RNA, 4145 nt
Organism: Coregonus clupeaformis (lake whitefish)
Lineage: Eukaryota; Metazoa; Chordata; Actinopteri; Salmoniformes; Salmonidae
Exons: 2
Source: RefSeq, a predicted model, not a curated record
GGUGACCAGGAAGAGAGGACAGAGGGUGGGUAGAGAGAAGGACAGGGGAUAGGAGAGAAGGUGACCAGGAAGAGAGGUCAGAGGGUGGGUAGAGAGAAGGACAGGGGAUAGGAGAGAAGGUGACCAGGAAGAGAGGACAGAGGGUGGGUAGAGAGACGGACAGGAGAUAGGAGAGAAGGUGACCAGGAAGAGAGGACAGAGGGUGGGUAGAGAGAAACAGGGGAUAGGAGAGAAGGUGACCAGGAAGAGAGGUCAGAGGGUGGGUAGAGAGCAACAGGGGAUAGGAGAGAAGGUGACCAGGAAGAGAGGUCAGAGGGUGGGUAGAGAGACGGACAGGAGAUAGGAGAUAAGGUGACCAGGAAGAGAGGUCAGAGGGUGGGUAGAGAGAAACAGGGGAUAGGAGAGAAGGUGACCAGGAAGAGAGGACAGAGGGUGGGUAGAGAGAAGGACAGGGGAUAGGAGAGAAGGUGACCAGGAAGAGAGGUCAGAGGGUGGAUAGAGAGAAACAGGGGAUAGGAGAGAAGGUGACCAGGAAGAGAGGUCAGAGGGUGGGUAGAGAGACGGACAGGAGAUGGAGAGAAGGUGACCAGGAAGAGAGGUCAGAGGGUGGGUAGAGAGAAGGACAGGGGAUAGGAGAGAAGAUGACCAGGAAGAGAGGUCAGAGGGUGGGUAGAGAGAAGGACAGGGGAUAGGAGAGAAGGUGACCAGGAAGAGAGGUCAGAGGGUGGGUAGAGAGAAGGACAGGGGAUAGGAGAGAAGGUGACCAGGAAGAGAGGUCAGAGGGUGGGUAGAGAGAAGGACAUGGGAUAGGAGAGAAGGUGACCAGGAAGAGAGGUCAGAGGGUGGGUAGAGAGAAACAGGGGAUAGGAGAGAAGGUGACCAGGAAGAGAGGUCAGAGGGUGGGUAGAGAGACGGACAGGAGAUAGGAGAGAAGGUGACCAGGAAGAGAGGUCAGAGGGUGGGUAGAGAGAAACAGGGGAUAGGAGAGAAGGUGACCAGGAAGAGAGGACAGAGGGUGGGUAGAGAGAAGGACAGGGGAUAGGAGAGAAGGUGACCAGGAAGAGAGGUCAGAGGGUGGGUAGAGAGAAACAGGGGAUAGGAGAGAAGGUGACCAGGAAGAGAGGUCAGAGGGUGGGUAGAGAGACGGACAGGAGAUAGGAGAGAAGGUGACCAGGAAGAGAGGUCAGAGGGUGGGUAGAGAGAAGGACAGGGGAUAGGAGAGAAGGUGACCAGGAAGAGAGGUCAGAGGGUGGGUAGAGAGAAGGACAGGGGAUAGGAGAGAAGGUGACCAGGAAGAGAGGUCAGAGGGUGGGUAGAGAGAAGGACAGGGGAUAGGAGAGAAGGUGACCAGGAAGAGAAAUCAGAGGGUGGGUAGAGAGAUGGACAGGAGAUAGGAGAGAAGGUGACCAGGAAGAGAGGUCAGAGGGUGGGUAGAGAGAAACAGGGGAUAGGAGAGAAGGUGACCAGGAAGAGAGGACAGAGGGUGGGUAGAGAGACGGACAGGAGAUAGGAGAGAAGGUGACCAGGAAGAGAGGUCAGAGGGUGGGUAGAGAGAAACAGGGGAUAGGAGAGAAGGUGACCAGGAAGAGAGGUCAGAGGGUGGGUAGAGAGACGGACAGGAGAUAGGAGAGAAGGUGACCAGGAAGAGAGGUCAGAGGGUGGGUAGAGAGAAACAGGGGAUAGGAGAGAAGGUGACCAGGAAGAGAGGACAGAGGGUGGGUAGAGAGAAGGACAGGGGAUAGGAGAGAAGGUGACCAGGAAGAGAGGUCAGAGGGUGGGUAGAGAGAAACAGGGGAUAGGAGAGAAGGUGACCAGGAAGAGAGGACAGAGGGUGGGUAGAGAGAAGGACAGGGGAUAGGAGAGAAGGUGACCAGGAAGAGAGGACAGAGGGUGGGUAGAGAGAGAAGAUGAAAAAGGGGGAAAGGGUUGCAAACUGUUCUAGAGAGUGAAGAUAUAUGGGGCAGUGUAAAUUCACAGAGAACAUUAGCUCUCGGAACAUAUUGAACAAAUAAGUGGUCAGACAGCGGUGCAAAUGAACACACAUGAACUACAAAGGCACAUAGAAUAGCCUACAGCGUAAGUGAUUCCCGAGUCAGAAAUUGAUUUAUUUCAUUGUAAUCGUCUUUAUAUAUUUAUAACAACAUUUGUUUAGGUCUGAAGUAAUACAGAUACAAAUUAUAUUACGUAUUGUGAAAUUGUUUUGCCUCACAGACAUGGCAAUUAAAUCUUGCAUAAUGGCAAUUUAGAAUAUAAUUGUCAUAUUUCAGAAAAUAAAUAUGACGUAUGUUGGCAUACUAGUCCUACACAACAGACUGUGCUUUCAAUACUCUCAAUUCUCAAUUGCCAGGAGAUGCUGUAAAGGUCAUUUUUUGAACUGUGAAUUUCUGGAAGUCCGUUCUCUUUAGAAUAUGUCCUCCUGCUCAGAGUAAAUGCACAACAACACAGUGUUAUCUUGCCCUGACCCUUGAACCCUGAACCUGGCAUCAUCAGAGUGCAACCUGUGUGAAACAAUCUUUUCUAACUAUGUCACAACAACAACAUGUAUAAGAAGCCAAGUGUAAAGGGUGUUAUUUGGAGAGUGUGAGGACAACCCUGUGCUUCCCAAACAACCCAAUGUUCUGGAAUUUUGAGUUUUAAUAAAAGUGUCUUGGAAAUAAAUGUUAUUCCAAGACUCCAAGACAAAGGUAUUCACUUGCACAAUGGACAGAAACUGAAAGUAGCCAAUGGAGGUUGUUCUCCUGUUAGUCUAAACUAGCCUGACCCUGGCCUCUUCUUCACCUUGUAUCUGGAUAGGAAUACAAAUACUGCACAACAGGCCUGGGACCUCCACAGAGCAAGCCAGGGCUUUCCAAACCCUGGAUGUGUAUGUACUACUGAGGAUGGGCUCUAACGUAAACAAUAUCCUGUCGGACUACAAAGACCAGAGACUCAGUGGUGUUCAGGACACUACAGAACUACAGAACCCUAACAGAACCUGUUACAGUGUAGUGAUUCUUAUUUUUGCUUUUGAAAGAUCUGUCUUUCUCAUUCCUCUGUUGUUUUAUCUAUUUGAUGGUCAGCACAGGCGAGGAGAGCGAGAGAGGAGCAUCAGGUGAACACUCACACAGAGGGAACAGUGGAAGUGCGUUGUAGAUUGUAAGAUUGCAAUAUUUAUAUAUAAAUGUAUUACACAGAUGUUGAUGUAAAUAAAAUGCUUCAGAUUGCUAGUUGAUAAGAGCAGGUCACUAGCCAAUAUAGGGAUUUUGGUACAUUUUACAGUGCAAAGGGAGGUAUGUUAUACACAGUAUAUCUCCCAUUGCUGUGUGAAAGUUUUUUUGUUUAUUUUUAUGGUUCUUUAUGGUUCGGUUCAAGAUGUUGAAUCUAAGUGCUUGUAUUUGUACAGGGUAGGAAUUGGUUUGCCUCUCCAUUCGGAUAAAAGUGGUGGCAAAUCUUUCACAACAAAUCCAGAGCUCAUAGAGAGUAGAACAGAUUCCAGCGACGAGGACUGCGUAGAGACAAUUAUGUGCGACUGACCAUGUUGUGUGCAGUUAACUCGUUGACCGCAAUGAUGCAAGACUUCAAUGGAUUUCAAACUGUAACCGAGUUCAGGAACAGAUCCCCUCACAGACCCUCGAGGCGUCCACCAAGGCAAUAGACAGGGAAGCUGAAGAUGGUAAUCAAUGGGAUCCUCUUAUAUUACGCCUCAAAACAUAACAACGGAUGUAAGUAGCGACUGGGCUCGGUUCAUAAAGCGUCGGAAUAGGAAGACAUUUUGUUUUGUUGUAUGCAAUGCAAUCAAAACCUCCCAUUUUGUUUCCAUUGUAGUAAGUAAGUACUUGGUAAGUAGAUCAAGUGUUUCCCUGAGCAGUGAAGAAUGGGACUGAAAAGCAAUAUGUACUGCUGAGCCUCUGUAGUUUCUACUCAUUCUACCCUUCAUUGUUUUCUCUGAACAGAGCUUAAAGUGAAGCAAACAGACUUCCUAAUAUGGAUGCCGUACAUUGUGUUGAGUGAACCAUAGAUGUUAGUCCAUUUCCAAUUUCACUUAUUUUCCCUUUUCCAUUUAUUUUUUAUUUUUUACACAGCUUUGUUUUAAAAUGCAAGGGUUUUGUGGACCUGGACAAUAAAGAGAUCUAUGUAUAUAAAAGCCUUGAAAUGUUCCCCUUAAA